ACGCUGCUGCUGUUGCUGCUGCUUCUGCAGCUGCAGCAGAGCCAACAAUCUCUAAGGAAUGCAGACCUAGGGUGACAGCAGCCCUCCUUGUCGCUGGUGCCAGUUGCUGAAGAAGUCACAGGGCCCAGAAGAUGAGAGGAGGAGGAGGAGGAGGAGGAGAGGCUUUGUGUGAAUACAGCUCACUGGACUUCUGUCAAACACAGAUUACAGCUGACAGGGUCUAGAACAAGGCACAUUGAUAAGAACGUAAGAUGAAUCCAUCAUUCUGUUCCAGGGGUGGUCAAUCAGAUGGCUAUAGGCCCACAAGAAGGGCAUGAGUGCAAUAGCACUCUUCUGCUACUGAACUGGAGAGAACAUAAUUGAGGAAGACCAUCACCCAGCUAAUGGACAUCAUGCCUGGAAAAAGGGAAGUGUUCUGGGCCUUCUGAAAAGCCUGCAGCAUAGAGAUUUGGGGCAGAUCCAAUGAAAGAGAGUUCUGUAGCCAUGGGGCCACCACAGAGAAGGGCCUCUCCCUCAUGGCCACCUAUCUUUCUGACCUAGUGAGUGGGUACACCAGGAGAGCCUCUAAAGCAGAAUGUAAGGUGCUGGCAGGAUGGUAUAGGUGCAGGUGGUCCAAUAAAUUGCUUGGGCCCAAACUAUUUGGGGCUUGAAAGGUCAAAACCAUCACCUUGAUUAGGCAUGGGAAUGCACAGAUAACAUGUUGCAUGACUGCCUUGCCCCCAAUAGGACUAUGGCAGCCACUUUCUGAACCAUUUUCAAAGGCAGCUCGAUGUACACUGUACAUGUAAUGCACUCUAGUAGUCUAGUCUGGAUAUGAGCAGAGCAUAGAUUACUGUGGCAAGGUCAGCCCCUCUCCACAUAGGGGUAUAGUUGGCGUAUCAGCUGAAGCUGGUAAAAAAACACUCCUGGCCACAGGUGUUACCUGUCAGUGUUGAAUCCAGAAGCACUCCAAAAUUGUAUACUUGGUCUUUCAGGGAGAGUGCCACCUCAUUGAAUGCCAGCUGUAACCCCUUCCAGAGCUUGGGAUUUCCCCACUCAUCAUCCCUCUGAACACAAGAAGAGCCUGCUGGAUCAGGCCAAUGGCACAUCUAGUCCAGCAUCCUGUUCUCACAUUGGCCAGCCAGAUUCCUACGGGAAGCCCGCAAGCAGGACUUGAGUACCAUAGCACUCUCCCCUCUUUUGGUUUCCAUCAACUGGUAUUCAGAAGCAUACUGCCUCCAGCCAUGGUACUUGGAUUCAACCGCAACCUGUUUGCCUGCAUCUGUCCCAAAACUGCUGCCAGGCACUGCUUAGGGCCUCAACAGCAUCCCCGGGAUCUGAGGAUGGAAAACAGCGGUAGAGCUGAGUGCAACACUGCAGCUCAAACUGUUUCAUGUAGAUGUUGAACAGCAUGUGGGACAAAAUGGACCCCCGCGGACCCCUGCAAGCCAAUGGCCACAGAGUGGAGCAACAGUCCCCUAGCACCACCUUCUGGGUGAGACUGUUCCCAAAGAAUCUGAAUGACUGUAAAAUAGUGCCUCCUAAACCCAAUCCCAAUAGCUAACUCAGAAGGAUACCAUGAUCGAUGGUGUCAAAAGCCUCGGAGAGUUCCAGGAGGCCUAACAGGGUAGAGCUCCCCCGUCCAUCCUCCAGUGAGAGCAGUCCAUCUGGGUGACCAAACUCAUUAAUGUCCCAUAUCCAAACCUGAAUCCAGAAUGAAAUGGAUUCAAAUAAUCAGCAUUAUCCAAAACUGCCUGGAGUUGAGAGGGCAGCGCCUGCUCUUAAGGAUGGGGGUGAAAUUCGAUUCAGUUUGCAUUGAAAGCCAAAUUUGUCAAAUUCACACUUUCUGAAACAACAUGAGAACUGAAACAAGCCAUCCUUCCAAACUGGGACUUAUGCAAAUUUUUCCAUUGCAGUUCUUCAACCAAACAAUGUUUACAAAAAUUCAUAUCAUAGGGGAAUGUGUUCAUAAAAACGAAUACAUUUGUGAAAAUCACAUACAAGAAUGCAUUCUAUUAGGAGAAAUUGCUCGCAAAAAGAUAUACAUUAGUCAAAACUAGGGAUAGAGGAGAAUUUCAAUUCACAUUUAAAGCCAGAUUUAUCAAAUUUGCACCACUUUCCAAAACUAUGAGAACCGAAACACAGCCGCCAUUCGCACUGAUCUGAAUUUUGCAAUGCCGUUCUCCAAGCAAGCGGUGUUUACAAAAAUGCAUGCAUUAGGAGAAAGUGUGCAUAAAAAUUAAUAUAUUAGUGAAAAUAAUGUACAAAAAUACAUUCUAUUAGGAGAAAUUGCUUGCAAAAAUGGGUACCUUAGUCAAAACUGCAUACAAAAAUGCAUUCAGUAGGAGGAAUUCGCACUAAAACGCUGAAGAAGUUUCAUGAGUUUUUUUUAAAAAUCAGCAAAUUUCUGCAGAAAUGUGAAGAACUGAAUUAAGACUUGAAAAAUGAGAAACUGAGAGAGCCAAAAUUGAUAGAUUCUUCCAUCCCCACCCGCUCUAUCACUUUGCCUCAGAGGGCAAUUUAAGGAUUGGAUGGAAGUUGUCUAUGGCCAAAGGAUCUAAAUUUGGCUUUUUAAAAGAUGAGUGGCCUCACUAUCGCCUCCUUGAAGAAGAUAUGGGUUCCUUUCUCAGGGUUAACUACCUCUGAGGUCCAGUUGCUCCAUUCUGAUCUUCUCAACCUGAAAAGCCAGAACAGCAAGGAUCAACAGGCGCCACCGAUCUGCUGGCCGUGGAACGAUCAGCAAGGCCUCUUCAGAAGAUCUUAAAGAUUGGCUUCAGUUGAACAGGCUGCAUGCAGAAUUUGAGGAGGGCUACACCCCAGUCGGCCAGCAGAGAAGCCUCCACUGUGACUCCUGAACAGGACCGGUCCUGUUGAGGGUUCCAGCCAGUUGGGCUGGGGGGCACAUUUUGACUCCAGGCUUGUUGGCACUUGGGGCACUGAAUUUGGUAUCAGAAGUAAUGGUUUUGGAGAAGAGAUGAGACCACUCAUAAGAAGAGCUCAGUGACCAGACAGGACAGAAUCCAUUCCGUAAUGCCAAACAGUGGAGACUAGUGGCUCCAAUGUCAGUGGGGCAGUGGACUCCACUCUGGGUUUUAGUCCAAACUUUCAAGGAGUUGUCCAGGUGCCAUGCAAGUUGCCAAGUUACAACACUUAUGAUUGUUUCAGGUGAAGACCUUCUCCACACAUGCAACUGAAAGCUGCAAUUCUGAGCAAGGAGGAAUGGUACUAAGCCCCUUCCGCCCCCAACGUGAAUGGGAGAAAAGGAGCUUUGAGCUCUCUUGGAUAACUAUUUCUGUGAAUAGUUAACAGCCACACAACAGAUGGUUUCCAAAAUCAGAUGGAUGGUUGUACUUCCUCCAGCUAAGGAUGUGGUGCAGACUGUGAAAAGGAAAAGGAUGAAACAAAUUUUGGGCUGGUGGGGACAAAUGCCACUCCUGCAGGUGAUGCCAUUGCUCUUGCUGUCGAAAAAGAAGAGAGUUGGAACUAUGCUGCCUUGCAUUCCACGCUCUGUUGCCCACUGCGAUGCUUUGUGCUGGGUCAGACCAUCUGUAGCCCAGUACUGUCCGCUCUGACUAGCAGAAGCUCUCCAAGGACUCAACAGAGGUUAUUCACAGUCCAUGAGAUACUUUCACUCUAGGCCAGUGUGGCAAAGUGGCUAAAACCUAUCAGGGAUGCUGCAGAAUUCUGACAAAAAAUGGAAACGGGAGUGGAACUUGCCAAUGUUCAUUUAUGCAUCCCGGGCCCAGCACGGAAACCAAUCCAGUGAUUACAACCGGAUGUUGUUGCUGCUUUCAGUCUGCAAAUGAUAUUUGUAAUUGAUUCCCUCUCCCCCUUUUUGCACUGUUUCCUUUGCAUUGAAAUGAAUUGGGGUGGCAUAACAUAAUGGCAGCCUAACUUACGUGACAUACAGAAUCAAUUGUGUAAUCUCACCACAAGCAAUAAAUGCAGGAAGCCAGGAAGAAAAAUAAAUAAAUACAUAAGUGUUGCCUUGCCCCUUAGCAGCUUCAAACUGGCCUAGCUGUCCCCCCUUGGAUCUGUUGUCUCCCAGUGCUUUCUCUGUCACCCAGAAUGUAGCAGCAGCAACAUGCAAAUAGAUGCUGAGGUCUGCAUGGCUAGUUUUUAUUUUCUAAGAAAGAGGAGAGAGAGAGAGAGAGAGAGAGAGAGAGAGAGUCUGGAGCAUUGCCAAGACAUGCUCAGUGUUGUCAAAUAUUUUGGCAAGCUUUGCCUCUAAUUUAGUCUAAAACAUCUUUACUACUAGAGAAACAGCAGCAGGCAAGCAACAAGCUUGGCUUCAUGCACAGCAGCAAAGAAAUCUGCUCCUACAGGCAUCUGGAGAAUAUUAUAAGCCAGAGGCACUCUAAGAGCUGGGGGCAUGCUCUGUAUGAUGGGAGAGGGGGAGGGCUUCAUCUUAGGCUUGCCAUGUCACAGCCCAGGGAACUGGUCUGCCCUUUUAACAGAAAUGGUAAAAAAAAUGGCCUGCCUUCAUGUCAAUCCCGACUGAUGGUGACCCUGUGAAUAGGGUUUUCAUGGUAAGCGGUAUUCAGAGGGGGUUUACCAUUGCCUUCCUCUGAGGCUGAGAGGCAGUGACUGGCCCAAGGUCACCCAGUGAGCUUUGUUGAUAUGUGGGGAUUCGAACCCUGUAGUCCAACACCUUAACCACUACACCACACUGGCUUUCUAACAGGAAUGAUAAGACUGCUUUAAUGUGAACUGAACCUAAUUGCUCCCCCUUAAGGACAUAAGAAGAGCCUGCUGGAUCAAGACAAAUGGCCCAUCUGGUCCAGCGUCCUGUUCUCACAGGGGCCAACCAGAUGCCCAUGGGAAGCCCAUGGGAAGCCCACAAGCAGGACCUGAGCGCAAGAGCACUCUCCAGUGGUUUCCAGCAACUAGUAUUCUGAAGCAUGCUGCCUCCGACCGUGUGGUCAGACCAUAGCCAUCCUGGCUAGUAGCCAUUGAUAGCCUUAUCCUCCAUGAAUUUGUCUCAACCUCAAAGCCAUCCAAUUUGGUGGCCAUCACUGCCUCUUGUUGGAGGGAAUUCCAGCAUUUAACUAUGCUCUGCGUGAAGAAGUACUUUCUAUUAUCCGUCCUGAAUCUUCCAGCAUUCAGCAUUCAUUGGAUGUCCACGAGGUACAGUGUUACGAGAGAGGAAGAAAAACUUCAAUCUAUCCCCUCUCUCCAUGCCAUGUACAAUUUUAUACACCUUGAUCAUGUCACCUCUGACUCGCCUUUUCUCUAAAACUAAAAAGUCCCCAAUGUUGCAACCUUUCCUCAUUGGUCACUCUGCUCGUUAACCAUGCCGGCACCCUCAGUCCAUUUCCCAAUCUGUGGUAUACACCCCAGGUGAGCUUCCAAUAUUGUAUUUUUAAACAACUCCCAAGCAUUUUGGGGCGAUCUCACUCUCUUGCCUUUGCCUUUCAACUUCUUUUUGCCUAUCCUCUCAUUUUUGGGGAAUGUCUCCUUUUGAAGCUCAGCAACAGGUAUUCAGAAGCAUACUGCCUCCAAGAAGCGUACUGUUCAGUGCCCUAUCAAGACUCAUCCUCUUCUGGUCCAUCCAUCUGCUAUGAAUGGAGCAAAUUCCCUUGAGCAAAAAGGCCAGGGAAAGGACAGGAGGGACGUAUGGCAGAUGGACAAAUCUCCCUCCACGUUUACUGUUAAAAGAGUGAACUAAAUUCUCCCAGUGUGGAUCCUUAUGCAAGUCGAAGGGCACCAUCCAUGCACCAGGGGGAGUUGUAUCAGCUACGGCAGUGACCCUACCUAAUUCACAGUUCCCGAACCAAUACACAAACCAAAAUGCAACUAUCUUUUGCAAUGCAGUUCUCCGACCGAAUAAUGUAUUCAAAAAUGCAGAUAUUAGGGGGAUGUGUGCCUUCCAAUGCACGUGUUAGUGAAAAUAAAAUGUAAGCAUGCGUUAUAUUAGAGGAAAUUGCUUGCACCAAUGUGUAUAUUAAGCAAAAUUAAAAAGUGUGAGUAUAAGGAAAACAACACACUAAGAUGCUAAUGAAUUUCCAUGAGGAUUUUCUUCUUUUUAAUUGCAAACUGAUGUGGAAAUGAGGAGAACUGAAUUUAAGAAUGAGAAACUGAAACUGACAAAU
Molecule: long non-coding RNA, 6071 nt
Organism: Rhineura floridana
Lineage: Eukaryota; Metazoa; Chordata; Lepidosauria; Squamata; Rhineuridae
Exons: 5
Source: RefSeq, a predicted model, not a curated record